AUGCUCGCUUUGGCAGCACAUAUACUAAAACAAGAAAGAUCCAGAGAAGAUUAGAAUGCCCCACGCACAAGGAUGGCUGUUCUCUGGGCAGACGUAAAUGGUGUCA
This is a small nuclear RNA of Ochotona princeps (American pika), 106 nucleotides long. The record is from Ensembl. NCBI's taxonomy places the organism in Eukaryota, Metazoa, Chordata, Mammalia, Lagomorpha, Ochotonidae.